This 443-nucleotide ribosomal RNA is filed under the name uncultured Prevotella sp. Its description in RNAcentral is "bacterial SSU rRNA". It matches the Rfam family "Bacterial small subunit ribosomal RNA", at positions 354 to 793 of the family's 1533-position model. The record is from RNAcentral. Lineage: Bacteria; Pseudomonadati; Bacteroidota; Bacteroidia; Bacteroidales; Prevotellaceae.
UGAGGGAAUAUUGGGUCAAUGGACGGGAGUCUGAACCAGCCAAGUAGCGUGCAGGAUGACGGCCCUAUGGGUUGUAAACUGCUUUUGUGCGGGGAUAAAGUGUGCCACGUGUGGCAUAUUGCAGGUACCGCAUGAAUAAGGACCGGCUAAUUCCGUGCCAGCAGCCGCGGUAAUACGGAAGGUCCGGGCGUUAUCCGGAUUUAUUGGGUUUAAAGGGAGCGUAGGCCGGAGAUUAAGCGUGUUGUGAAAUGUAGUGGCUCAACCUCUGCACUGCAGCGCGAACUGGCCUUCUUGAGUACGCACAACGUGGGCGGAAUUCGUGGUGUAGCGGUGAAAUGCUUAGAUAUCACGAAGAACUCCGAUUGCGAAGGCAGCUCACGGGAGCGCAACUGACGCUGAAGCUCGAAAGUGCGGGUAUCGAACAGGAUUAGAUACCCUGGUAG